Molecule: non-coding RNA, 97 nt
Filed under: marine eukaryotic metagenome
Description: Glycine riboswitch
Rfam family: Glycine riboswitch aptamer
About the family: This family represents the bacterial glycine riboswitch.
Source: RNAcentral
ACGGCCCUCUGGAGAGCUCACGGCGCAGAUGCGCCGGGCACCGAAGGGGCAACUUCCAGUCAAUGGAAGGAAACUCUCAGGUAAAAGGACAGAGGAG